Eurytemora carolleeae is the source of this 957-nucleotide long non-coding RNA. RefSeq lists it as uncharacterized. The transcript has 3 exons. The record is from RefSeq and is a predicted model, not a curated record. NCBI's taxonomy places the organism in Eukaryota, Metazoa, Arthropoda, Copepoda, Calanoida, Temoridae.
AUUGACACAGGAAUCGUUACACCAAGGAGUAAAGAAAUACAAAUUACAGCUCUGCAUGCGUUCCUUCCUAAUUCGAUCUAGGAAUUAAAUUAAACUGGCGAACAUUCUCAAAUUUCACAAAGAAUGUAUAAAUAUGUAAAAAGAUUUAUCAGACUGGCUAUAGUCGAAUCCAAGAAAUUUGAAUGUCAGGAUAUUUAAACACGUACAGCUAGAGAUUGUAACGUCGCAUGGCAGAGUGGCUGAAUAGAGUUGGUGUCACGAAACAACAGAAUUGAGUAUAUUGUAUUUAAUAUACCGUAUGUAAGCGGGGAUUCCAAACUACGAGGUUGCGUUGUAAGAUUGUUGGCCUAGGCUGUUUCAAUUUCCAUUUCUGUGGUUACUGGCUCCCAAGGUAGUAUUACAUAAAACAUUAAUAACAAUUCUUUUAAACUUUUAUUUGAAUUGUAUAAAAUGUUGGAAUAAACAUGGAUUGAAAUUGAAUGCAAAAAAGAAGAAGAAGAAGAAGGCGGAUAGAACAUUCUAGUAUUUGUUGUGAUGAGCCAAUCAGGGGUAAACCAGAACUCAUAUUCAUUAUCAUUUUAAAUUUUUAAAAAUAGAUUUUUUAAUGAUUAAAGAAGUUUUAAGAAUGGAAUAUAUUAGAUUCGUGCAGUUUAUAUAUAUUCACAUAAGCUAUACCUAACAUAUGUUGCAUUGAUAAUUCCACUCGCUUAUCAAACUUCAAACCCAUAAUUCAGCCUGCCCCUCAUCCCCACCCUUCUCCUAAACCUCACCCUUCCCCCCCUUGACUCCCCCACCCUUUCUCCUAAACUUCUUUGCCCCCCCCCUUAAUCAUCUCUUCCUCUCGAAACCCCUUCAUCAAAACCAUAUUUUUCACAACUUACAAUUUGCUGCGCUAAUUUUCACGAUUACGUGAGUCAGAGGAUUUCUUAAAAGCGCCAUUUUUCAAAAUUUUGUUGA